GACUGUACUAAAAGACAACACGUCGUGCGUUUCUUCAAACAAUUUCAAGAUUUUACUUCGUUCCAAAGAAAAAACUACCACACAGAUGUGAAUAUUUAAACCAGAGUUAUAUUAAAGUUGGACCGACCCUGAUGACCUGGUCUAGUAUCACACACUUCUCUAUAGUAUACAGUGACAAGUACAACAGCUCGAUCGUUGCAGCCUUGGAACUACCAACAUGUGACUGAAUAACAGAUUCAAACCAAAGUCUUCUGAAAAUUGGACCAUUAGAUAAACCUUGAUGACGUGGUUUACUGUGCACUUCUUGAGUCGACAGGGAGACAAGGACAAGUAAAACACCUGUUGCAGCCUUGGAACUAUCAACAUGUGAUACACACAAGCAGAUCACAUCAACACUUAAAGCGUUCAUUCUUAGCAGAAUCAGUUGAGAAAGCGUGCUGACGUGGUCUACUACUGUGCACUUCUCUAGUCGCGUGCGGGACAAGUAAAACACCUGUUGCAGCCUUGGAACCAUCAACAUGUGAUGUGAACAAGCAGAUGACAUAAACACUUAAAGCGUUUGUAGCAGAAUCGUCAGAAAUUAUUUAUCCCAGAAAUCUUUCGCUAAAGAUUGCUAGAAUUUGAUAGAAAGAUUCUUCAUAACAAGAAUAACUUCAGAGACGUCAAACAACGGAGCUUGAAUAUGUGACUUAAUACUUUAACUUAAGUUUUCAUUAAAGACAGUGGACACUAUUGGUAAUUGUCAAAGACCAGUCUUGUCAAUUAGUGUAUCUCAACAUAUGCAUAACAAACCUGUGAAAAUUUCAGCUCAAUUGGUCGUCAAAGUUGGUCUAUCAAAUGUUUGCAAGACUCUAGCCUUAUGGUUUUAUCAAAUUUUGCUUGAAAAUGCUUGCCUUAUGGUUUUAUCAAAUUUUGCCUGAAAAUGUUU
This is a long non-coding RNA of Asterias rubens (European starfish), 928 nucleotides long. RefSeq lists it as uncharacterized. Lineage: Eukaryota; Metazoa; Echinodermata; Asteroidea; Forcipulatida; Asteriidae. The record is from RefSeq and is a predicted model, not a curated record. The transcript has 3 exons.